UACGUAGGUCCCGAGCGUUGUCCGGAUUUAUUGGGCGUAAAGCGAGCGCAGGUGGUUUAUUAAGUCUGGUGUAAAAGGCAGUGGCUCAACCAUUGUAUGCAUUGGAAACUGGUAGACUUGAGUGCAGGAGAGGAGAAUGAAAUUCCAUGUGUAGCGGUGAAAUGCGUAGAUAUAUGGAGGAACACCGGUGGCGAAAGCGGCUCUCUGGCCUGUAACUGACACUGAGGCUCGAAAGCGUGGGGAGCAAACAGG
RNAcentral lists this ribosomal RNA (252 nucleotides) under uncultured bacterium. RNAcentral's name for it is "partial 16S ribosomal RNA". It matches the Rfam family "Bacterial small subunit ribosomal RNA", at positions 524 to 776 of the family's 1533-position model. The record is from RNAcentral.